AGUAACGAAUCUUCCGCAAUGGGCGAAAGCCUGACGGAGCAAUGCCGCGUGUGGGAUCAAGCAUCUACGAUGUGUAAACCACUGUCAGAAUCUAGAAAUACUGAUCAGAUUCAGAGGAAGGGCCGGCUAAUUCAGUGCCAGCAGCCGCGGUAAUACUGAAGGCCCGAGCGUUAUUCGGAAUCACUGGGCUUAAAGCGUACGCAGGCGGAUUUGUAGGUAUCUUGUGAAAUCCCACGGCUCAACCGUGGAACUGCAGGGUAAACCACAAAUCUUGAGACAAGUAGGGGUUAGUGGAACGAUAUGUGGAGCGGUGAAAUGCGUAGAUAUAUAUCGGAACGCCAAUGGCGAAGGCAGCUAACUGGGCUUGUUCUGACGCUCAGGUACGAAAGCGUGGGUAGCGAACGGGAUUAGAUACCCCGGUAGUCCACGCCGUAAACGAUGCACACUAGGUCGCGGUACCUCUCAUGGUUUCGCGGCCGAAGGAAAACUGGUAAGUGUGCCGCCUGGGGAGUACGGUCGCAAGGCUAAAACUCAAAGGAAUUGACGGGGGCUCACACAAGCGGUGGAGCAUGUUGCUUAAUUCGAGGCAACGCGAAGAACCUUACCUAGGCUUGACAUGUAUGGAUUAGCAUUAUGAAAGUUUUGUAACGCCCUUGGGUGGAACAUACACAGGUGCUGCAUGGCUGUCGUCAGCUCGUGCUGUGAAGUGUCGGGUUAAGUCCCUUAACGAGCGCAACCCCUAUCGUUAGUUACUAACGCGUUAUGGCGAGGACUCUAGCGAGACUGCCGGUGUCAAACCGGAGGAAGGUGGGGAUGACGUCAAGUCAGCAUGGCCCUUAUGCCUAGGGAUGCAAACGUGCUACAAUGGUACGGACAAAGCGAUGCGAUACCGCGAGGUGGAGCAAAUCGCAAAAACCGUGCCCCAGUUCGGAUAGCAGGCUGAAAUUCGCCUGCUUGAAGCCGGAAUCGCUAGUAAUCGCGUAUCAGCUACGACGCGGUGAAUACGUUCCUGAGCCUUGUACACACCGCCCGUCAAGUCAUGGAAGCUGUUAGUGCCCGAAGUCACCUCGUUUCAGGGGUGCCUACGGCAAGAAUGGUGACUGGGACU
Molecule: ribosomal RNA, 1108 nt
Filed under: uncultured bacterium
Lineage: Bacteria
Description: bacterial SSU rRNA
Rfam family: Bacterial small subunit ribosomal RNA
Source: RNAcentral